GGGGAAUAUUGGACAAUGGGCGAAAGCCUGAUCCAGCAAUGCCGCGUGAGUGAUGAAGGCCUUAGGGUUGUAAAGCUCUUUUACCAGGGAUGAUAAUGACAGUACCUGGAGAAUAAGCUCCGGCUAACUCCGUGCCAGCAGCCGCGGUAAUACGGAGGGAGCUAGCGUUGUUCGGAAUUACUGGGCGUAAAGCGCACGUAGGCGGCGACUCAAGUCAGAGGUGAAAGCCCGGGGCUCAACCCCGGAAGUGCCUUUGAAACUAGGUUGCUAGAAUCUUGGAGAGGUCAGUGGAAUUCCGAGUGUAGAGGUGAAAUGCGUAGAUAUUCGGAAGAACACCAGUGGCGAAGGCGACUGACUGGACAAGUAUUGACGCUGAGGUGCGAAAGCGUGGGGAGCAAAC
This 400-nucleotide ribosomal RNA is filed under the name uncultured bacterium. RNAcentral describes it as "bacterial SSU rRNA". It matches the Rfam family "Bacterial small subunit ribosomal RNA", at positions 356 to 773 of the family's 1533-position model. The record is from RNAcentral.